Molecule: long non-coding RNA, 112 nt
Organism: Sinocyclocheilus grahami
Lineage: Eukaryota; Metazoa; Chordata; Actinopteri; Cypriniformes; Cyprinidae
Exons: 3
Source: RefSeq, a predicted model, not a curated record
CCGCAGCAGCAUCACUGAGGAAGGUUCAGGACCACAAUCCAUACUCUUUCAAUAAUGUCUGAUCUUUGCGUUGGAAUCAAUGGAUUUGGCCGCAUUGGCCGUCUGGUCCUCA